ACAAAGGCUCUUUUGAGAGCCACCUAUGUUUUCAAAGAAAGAGUUG
Non-coding RNA from Sarcophilus harrisii (Tasmanian devil), 46 nucleotides. Lineage: Eukaryota; Metazoa; Chordata; Mammalia; Dasyuromorphia; Dasyuridae. The record is from Rfam.